GUGUCAGCAGCCGCGGUAAUACGAAGGGGGCUAGCGUUGCUCGGAAUCACUGGGCGUAAAGCGCACGUAGGCGGCUUUUUAAGUCGGUGGUGAAAUCCUGGAGCUCAACUCCAGAACUGCCUCCGAUACUGAAAGGCUUGAGUCCGGGAGAGGUGAGUGGAACUGCGAGUGUAGAGGUGAAAUUCGUAGAUAUUCGCAAGAACACCAGUGGCGAAGGCGGCUCACUGGCCCGGUACUGACGCUGAGGUGCGAAAGCGUGGGGAGCAAACAGGAUUAGAAACCCGAGUAGUCC
RNAcentral lists this ribosomal RNA (292 nucleotides) under uncultured bacterium. RNAcentral's name for it is "partial 16S ribosomal RNA". It matches the Rfam family "Bacterial small subunit ribosomal RNA", at positions 505 to 796 of the family's 1533-position model. The record is from RNAcentral.